Molecule: non-coding RNA, 1545 nt
Organism: Kogia breviceps (pygmy sperm whale)
Lineage: Eukaryota; Metazoa; Chordata; Mammalia; Artiodactyla; Physeteridae
Source: RefSeq, a predicted model, not a curated record
AGGGAGGCCCCCAUCACCCCCGACCGUUCCCCAGGGAUGACCACGUGCAGUGGGGCGAGGUCUCAUUUGCUGGACUUUCCCUGACCAGCUGAACCAUUAAACUAGGACACCGAGAUGCCUGCCACCAUACCCUGGACAUUUCCUAAUCAGGAGGGUAUUCGUGGCAGCCCCGCCCUGUGCAGAAGGUUUCACGUGCAUUAUUCCAAUGAAGCCUCCCAGCCACCCAUGAGGUCAGUUCUAUUAUUACCUUCAUCCUCCCUCCCGAAGGGGACACAGGUGAGGUGACUGCCAAGCCACAAGCUCCAAAGAACGUCUGUUUGGAUCAUCAGAGCCACAAAUCACAAGCAGGACAUUUGAAGGGAGUGGGUAAUGAGGCUAAAAAUAUUUAUUUGGAACAGAUUCUAAGGGCAGGCCAAAUUCCUGUUCAAACCCCACCUCCUGUUACAAUAGCUUUGGGUUCAGGGAAGGACUGAGUGAAAACUCCUGUGAAACAAGCAUCCACAUCAAGAAACAGAACGUGAGUGACCACGUGUGUGUUUUCGAAACAAAAUCAGGAUCCUCUGACGUUGUGGGAUGAUUGUGUCCUCCCAAAAAGCUCCUGGACGGAUCUAAGAAUGUCACCUCUUGCAGCCUGGUGACCAUGGCAGACACAUCAGAUGACGUCACCACCUAAAGCACUUCAGUGGCUCCCUCAUGUCCCUGUGAUCUGGCUCCUGUACCCUCCCCACCUCAUCUCAUACCUCGCUCCCUGUUCGGCCACUCAGGCCACGUUUUGGCCCUUCUCCUCUCUGUCUCUGUGGCCACAGGGCCUUAGUACAUGCUGUGCCAUCUGCCAAAGAUGCCUCUACUCUCCCCUCGACAUGCGCUCGUCAUCAUCCUUCAGAUCUAAACUGUUCCCUGCCUCCCUACAUCAUGUACCUUGUAACACCAGAGAUCUAGGGACCUCUUCGUAGGGUGUUUGGGGGAGAGGCUUCCAGGGAACUGCCCCCAAGUCUGUCACUCUCAAGGUCUUGGCUCUGUGUCCCCACCUCCCAGAGAGGAGACCUCCUACAUCCCCACCGGCCAGUGGUCCCCAGGGCUCCUUCUAAAGCACUUCCGCAUCUCUCCUCUCCUCACCACCCAUGGCCACCUCUUGGCAUUGCAAUGGUGCUCCCCACCCUCUACUCACCAUACCCAGCUGAGGGCUCUAAAAAAUGCACCCAACUCCCUUCCUGAAAACCCUUUCAUUGCUCCCCACUGGCAUCAGGGUAAAUUUCUAGCUCCUACUUCGUGAGCCUCUUGACAAGGCCAUUUUGAUCCAGGCUCCAGUGAGCACUUACUGCACCAGCCUCAGCCCCUGGCGCCAAUUCACCUCAGUCCUCCUCUCCCCAACAGGCUAGGAGCCAUCAUGCCUCAGUGCCUUCUCCCUUUGUCCCUUCUGUUCCCUUUGCCUGGGCCCCUUCUCCUUUGGGCUUCACCUGGCUAAAUGCUCACUGCAUCCUUCUCAACUCCCACCAAGGUAUCACCUCCUCCAGGAAGCCUUCCCUAUGCCCCUGACUGUGUUUU